AGUUUAGGAAAGAGUCGAUUUUAAGUGAGGUUUUGAAUUGGGAUUUGUUUAGAUUUAAUUUUAAAUUAAAAUUAAUAUAAAAAUAUAAUUUUAAAUAAUAGGCAUGGAAGAAUCUCCUAGAAGUUAGUCGAUCUGUUCAUUCAGUGCUUCGUGAAAGGUAAGUAAUGAAUCAUCUUCUCGAGAUAUUCCAUAUUUAUUCUGAAAAUAAAUAAAUUAUUUUCUGAAAUUAUGCAUGAUUUAUGAAAUUAUGUUUUGAAAGAAAAGUACUUUUGAAAUAUUAUGGUACGUCGAUUUAUGCACAUGUUCAGUGAAAAAAAUUAUGACAUAUUAUGGUACAGUGUUUUGAUAUAGAUCGGAUUUAUGCUCUCAGCCUAACUAUGUUUCAGUGGGCCCCGCCAAUGGGGAUUAUACGUUGGUACUCAGUGGACCCUGCCAGUGGGG
This 441-nucleotide long non-coding RNA is filed under the name Elaeis guineensis (African oil palm). RNAcentral describes it as "long non-coding RNA (EGUI_LNC054674)". The record is from RNAcentral. Lineage: Eukaryota; Viridiplantae; Streptophyta; Magnoliopsida; Arecales; Arecaceae.